RNAcentral lists this long non-coding RNA (334 nucleotides) under Canis lupus familiaris (dog). RNAcentral's name for it is "lncRNA (ENSCAFG00040018679.1)". Lineage: Eukaryota; Metazoa; Chordata; Mammalia; Carnivora; Canidae. The record is from RNAcentral.
AGAAGUAGUGCUAAGUUGCCAGUGGAAACUGCCCAUGGGCCACAUGAGAGACCACGGAUCCUGCAAUGCUCGGGAUGCAUAAAGCUGGCACAGAAGUGCUGCAGAGAGGCUGUCACCAGUUAGAGGGAAGGAGCUAGAGAAGCAAGAAGUGCGGCAACAGCCAACGGUCUUCAAAGGCAUGCAGAGAGGCUGGCUGAGCUCUGCCAGGCCAGCAGGGUCUGUGCCAGGCCUGGGAGACUGCGAGGACAAGCAGCAGGUGACGGCCUUUCUGGAGAACAUGGAGGUGGAGAGCAAGUACCAGUGCUACUGUGAGAAGGACCCGGACGAUUCAUGA